This 22-nucleotide non-coding RNA is filed under the name Arabidopsis thaliana (thale cress). The record is from RNAcentral. Lineage: Eukaryota; Viridiplantae; Streptophyta; Magnoliopsida; Brassicales; Brassicaceae.
UUGGUGAUUACUGGGACACUGC